UACUUUGAGCUAGACUCAGCACGAAAGCUCCCACGCAUCAGUGCAGAAUCGGACGACUUCGGUAUAAGAAAUAAGCCAAACUAAACUAAAUCGGACGGCUUCGGGUCAAAGAAAUAGCAAAACUAAAUCGGACGGCUUCGGUCAAAGAAUAGGACCUCUAUGUCAUCGCGUCGGCAUUCCCACGCCGGCGGAGCACGCGGUGUGCCGGUCCGAGUUCGCCAACGGAGACGCCGUCCGGCUGCUCACCACCAUAUGUCGCC
Molecule: long non-coding RNA, 260 nt
Filed under: Brachypodium distachyon (stiff brome)
Lineage: Eukaryota; Viridiplantae; Streptophyta; Magnoliopsida; Poales; Poaceae
Description: long non-coding RNA (BDIS_LNC000573)
Source: RNAcentral